GUGCCUAACACAUGCAAGUCGAGCGGUAACAGGCGUAGCAAUACGUGCUGACGAGCGGCGAACGGGUGAGUAACGCUUCGGAAUCUGCCCAAUGGUGGGGAAUAACCAGCCGAAAGGUUGGCUAAUACCGCAUGAGCCCUACGGGGGAAAGCGGGGGAUCGCAAGACCUCGCGCCGAUGGAUGAGCCGAAGCCGGAUUAGCUAGUUGGUAGGGUAACGGCCUACCAAGGCGACGAUCCGUAGCUGGUCUGAGAGGACGACCAGCCACACUGGGACUGAGACACGGCCCAG
RNAcentral lists this ribosomal RNA (290 nucleotides) under uncultured bacterium. RNAcentral's name for it is "partial 16S ribosomal RNA". It matches the Rfam family "Bacterial small subunit ribosomal RNA", at positions 44 to 334 of the family's 1533-position model. The record is from RNAcentral.